AGCAGCCGCGGUAAUUCCAGCUCCAAUAGCGUAUAUUAAAGUUGUUGCAGUUAAAAAGCUCGUAGUUGAAUAUCUGGCCGGUGCUGUUCUUGGCUCACUGAGCCGGUGCAGUGCCUGGUCAUCCGUACGGGAAGCUAGUUCGGCCUUCACUGGUCGGCUAGUGGAUCGUACACUUUACUUUGAAAAAAUUAGAGUGUUUCAGGCAGGCAAUUGCUUGGAUACUGUAGCAUGGAAUAAUGGAAUAGGACUUUGACUUAUUUGUUGGUUUCUUCGAGGUCAAAGUA
This 284-nucleotide ribosomal RNA is filed under the name uncultured Funneliformis. RNAcentral describes it as "partial small subunit ribosomal RNA". It matches the Rfam family "Eukaryotic small subunit ribosomal RNA", at positions 569 to 864 of the family's 1831-position model. The record is from RNAcentral. Lineage: Eukaryota; Fungi; Glomeromycota; Glomeromycetes; Glomerales; Glomeraceae.